GAAAAACCCCAAGGUACCUCAAUGAAAAGCAGGAAAAUAAACUGGUUUACAAACAAAUUUUUUCUAAAUUUUCACAAAUUACAAUUUGAUGAACCAAUUUGAAAUCUUUCCACUACAACAGUCAGAAUUCUGAGAGAGAUUUAUUUAAAUGUACAAAAUUUUUUUUUCCCCAAAAAGAAGGAAACUAUCCCUCAUCAAAUUCUAAUCCUUUUUCUUUCAUUUGUACACAGAAC
This 233-nucleotide unclassified non-coding RNA is filed under the name Hevea brasiliensis (rubber tree). The record is from RNAcentral. Lineage: Eukaryota; Viridiplantae; Streptophyta; Magnoliopsida; Malpighiales; Euphorbiaceae.